Molecule: long non-coding RNA, 771 nt
Filed under: Fukomys damarensis (Damara mole-rat)
Lineage: Eukaryota; Metazoa; Chordata; Mammalia; Rodentia; Bathyergidae
Description: lncRNA (ENSFDAG00000031913.1)
Source: RNAcentral
GAGCACAGUAUCUGUUCUGAUUUCCAGCAGCUCGGUUAAUUUUCACUGGAGGGAAGGUGGUGGCAGCCCCUUUCAUCGGAGCGGAGCCGUCAACAUGCAGUGCCCCAGGGCUGCCUCUGGCGGGUGCCGGGAAUGCCGAGCGGUGUGGUCACCUGCAAGCUGGGGAAUCGAAAUGGGAAUAAUGAAGACGAAGGAAAUGCGACGAGGAUUGGUAUUCACGGAGCAGCACCUGUUUCCAGGCCUGUUUUUCAAUUUUUACAAUAGCCCCACGAGUUACGUACCAUUACCAUUUCCCAAAUGAGAAAAUCAAGGCACAGACAGGUCAAGUCCUUUGGCGGAGGGGAGCAGAGAAGUGUCACAGGGGUGGCAGUCACGCAGUCACCCAGGAGGGGCCCGGAAGGGGGUACUCAAGCUGAGACUGGAGCCCCCUCCCCCUCCGCAUGCGCCCAGACCAUGCCAGAUGUUUCCCAGCUGUGGACUGGUGCUCCCCGCAGACGCCGGCCCCAAGGCCCACCCUCGCCGGUGAGGCUUCCCGGAGGGAGCUGCGUUCGUCAGAGACGCUGGGAGCAGGCAGUGCAGAGAGCUCUGGCGUGCACAGGCGUGGGCGGACCGCGGCGAGGGCGCGAUCAGUUCCUUCCGAUCUCUUCUCGUGUCUGGGUCUGCUGGGCAUUCACUCAUCACUCCAAAAGAACAGCACCCAGCAUGCGCUCACACAGCCUUGUUCUGCACCCCAACUUUCACCAUGACUGGGGGGAAAGGAAGGGCUUCUAG